This is a transfer RNA of Stereum hirsutum FP-91666 SS1, 104 nucleotides long. It matches the Rfam family "tRNA". Rfam says of the family: Transfer RNA (tRNA) molecules are approximately 80 nucleotides in length. Their secondary structure includes four short double-helical elements and three loops (D, anti-codon, and T loops). NCBI's taxonomy places the organism in Eukaryota, Fungi, Basidiomycota, Agaricomycetes, Russulales, Stereaceae. The record is from Rfam.
AGCUCGAUAGCGUAACGGUAGCGCGUCUGUCCCCAAUUCUUAUCAUGAAUGGCACGGACUUAAUGGUCGACAGAAAGAUCUCGGUUCGAAUCCGGGUCGAGCUA